AACCUGCCCACUGAAAUUUUUAAAUGGCCGCAGUAUCCUAACUGUGCAAAGGUAGCAUAAUCAUUAGUCUUUUAAUUGAAGGCUGGUAUGAAUGGUUGGACGAGAUAUUAACUGUUUCAUAUAAAUUUAUAAUAGAAUUUUAUUUUUUAGUCAAAAAGCUAAAAUUUAUUUAAAAGACGAGAAGACCCUAUAAAUCUUUAUAUUUAAAAUAUUAUAUUUUUUUAGAAUUAUUUUAAUAUAAUAUUUAAUAAUAUUUUAUUGGGGUGAUAUUAAAAUUUAAUAAACUUUUAAUUAUUUAAAUCAUUAAUUUAUGAAUAAUUGAUCCGUUAUUAACGAUUAAAAAUUUAAGUUACUUUAGGGAUAACAGCGUAAUUUUUUUGGAGAGUUCAUAUCGUUAAAAAAGAUUGCGACCUCGAUGUUGGAUUAAGAAAUAUGUUUAGGUGUAGCAGCUUAAAUAAUAAGUCUGUUCGACUUUUAAAUUCUUACAUGAUCUGAGUUCAAACCGGCGUAAGCCAGGUUGGUUUCUAUCUUUAAAAA
RNAcentral lists this ribosomal RNA (537 nucleotides) under Haematobia irritans (horn fly). RNAcentral describes it as "partial small subunit ribosomal RNA". It matches the Rfam family "Bacterial large subunit ribosomal RNA", at positions 1856 to 2650 of the family's 2925-position model. Lineage: Eukaryota; Metazoa; Arthropoda; Insecta; Diptera; Muscidae. The record is from RNAcentral.